Molecule: ribosomal RNA, 1310 nt
Filed under: uncultured bacterium
Lineage: Bacteria
Description: partial 16S ribosomal RNA
Rfam family: Bacterial small subunit ribosomal RNA
Source: RNAcentral
GAUGAACGCUGGCGGUAUGCUUAACACAUGCAAGUCGUACGAGAGUUUUUAACUCUAGUGGCGAACGGGUGAGUAAUACGUGAGAAUCUGCCCUUAGGAGGAGAAUAACUGCUGGAAACGGCAGCUAAGUCUCCAUAUGCCGAGAGGUGAAGUAGUUUACACUGCCUAAGGAUGAGCUCGCGCCUGAUUAGCUUGUUGGUGAGGUAACGGCUUACCAAGGCCACGAUCAGUAGCUGGUUUGAGAGAACGAUCAGCCACACUGGGACUGAGACACGGCCCAGACUCCUCCGGGAGGCAGCAGUGAGGAAUUUUCCGCAAUGGGCGAAAGCCUGACGGAGCAAUACCGCGUGAGGGAUGAAGGAUUUUGGUCUGUAAACCUCUUUUCUCAAGAAAGAAGUUCUGACGGUACUUGAGGAAUAAGCAUCGGCUAACUCCGUGCCAGCAGCCGCGGUAAUACGGGGGAUGCAAGCGUUAUCCGGAAUCAUUGGGCGUAAAGCGCCUGUAGGUUGUUUAAUAAGUCCGUUGUUAAAGACUAGGGCUUAACCCUAGGAAAGCGAUGGAAACUGAUAGACUUGAGUAUGGCAGGGGUAGAGGGAAUUUCUAGUGUAGCGGUGAAAUGCGUAGAUAUUAGAAAGAACACCGGUGGCGAAAGCGCUCUACUGGACCAUUACUGACACUGAGAGGCGAAAGCUAGGGGAGCGAAAGGGAUUAGAUACCCCUGUAGUCCUAGCCGUAAACGAUGGAUACUAGAUGUUGUGUAAUUUGGACAGUAUCGUAGCUAACGCGUUAAGUAUCCCGCCUGGGGAGUACGCUCGCAAGGGUGAAACUCAAAGGAAUUGACGGGGGCCCGCACAAGUAGUGGAGCAUGUGGUUUAAUUCGAAGAUACGCGCAGAACCUUACCAACACUUGACAUGUUCGUCGCGACUUUAAGAGAUUAAAGUUUUCGGUUCGGCCGGACGAAACACAGGUGCUGCAUGGCUGUCGUCAGCUCGUGUCGUGAGAUGUUGGGUUAAGUCCCGCAACGAGCGCAACCCUCACUUUUAGUUGCCAUCAUUCAGUUGGGCACUCUGAAAGAACUGCCAGUGAUAAGCUGGAGGAAGGUGGGGAUGACGUCAAGUCCUCAUGGCCCUUACGUGUUGGGCUACACACGUGCUACAAUGGCAUUUACAAUAGGAAGCAAGAUGGCGACAUCGAGCAAAUCCUAAAAAGAUGCCUCAGUUCGGAUUGUACUCUGCAACUCGAGUACAUGAAGCUGGAAUUACUAGUAAUCGCGGAUCAGCGCGCCGCGGUGAAUACGUUCCCGGGUCUU